AAGGCCCGGUUUCAGUACGAGGUGCUGAGGAAUAGCUCUGCUGGCAGCAUCCAACUCACCUAGGAGUUAUACAGGGCUUCUGCUACCAGAAGAGUGUUUGUCGUACCUUCAUUACCAGAUAUGAGCAACCGUAGCUGAUGCAGGAUGGUUGUUUUCCCAUCUUUAGGAUACUUGUUCUUCUACCUGAAAAUGGUCUUUAUUGUUGUUUCAUAGUGUAUGGGAAGUGCUGAGUCACAGCCUGAACCUCUGAUGGAUCGCCUGAGGUGAGCCAUGAGUCAGUUAUGGAGCACAGCUGAAGGCAAUUCACCUGUGCUGCAGGAAGGGGUGGAGCCUGGCUGCACCCCUCCUAGACCUAUUGAAGAGCUGGCUGCCAGUGGGGAAGGAUCUCUUCUGGAGAUCUGCUCUGCUGGUGUUUUGUGAGUGAGCCCAGGAUAGGGCCCUAAUCCAAGCCAGUGCCCAUGUGACAGUCACCCUUUUGUUGCUAGCCAGCAGGAAAGGAAACCAGAGCCUGCAGGUGAGCUCCAGCCUUGUUGGGGUUGUCAAUGCCCCCAGUUCCUGCCUUUGUUGAGGGCUUCAGGGGUCCACAUGAGAGGAAAAGCGUAGCUUCUUCCUGCCCAGCAUCUGAGGCAUACACCAAACUGCAUCUUGCCACCUCCCUGAUGUGAAAGUUCAGCCUGCUCCAGCAGCAGUCAGCAGGGAGCCUGGAUAAUAGUUGGACACGGCACGUGGCAGCACGGCAGAGGACCUCCAACAGCCCUUCUGAUAUAUUUUCAGAAAGUUUCCCAGUGAAGCAGAUACGCAGAAACUGAUGAAAAUUUGAUUUCACCUACAGCAGGGGAAAGAGAGGAGGAAGUUGGGUUAAUGUGUGUCUGAGACAGAGCCUCCAGGAAGCAGUGCCUGUGCCAUGUUUACCUUUCACAUCUGAUGUCGCCUUUUGCUAAUUGCCAGGCUGUUCGUUCACAUCAGGAGGCGGUUCAAAGUUCAGGAAAUCAGCGUGCAUUUGGGGGCCAGAAUCUGAACCCAGAAGAACAGUCUUGUGUUUUCCUUACCACUGAAAAAUGUAAAUGUCGUUGGUGCAAUGUUCACUCAUUAUUGCUGAAUCAAAGAGCAGUCUCAGCUCCGGCUGGAAUCUCGUGGAAAAAGAUACAGAUCUCUCUUCCCAUUUCAGACACGUCUUGCUGUGUGAAUGGGCGAUACUUACUGGAUACUUAGGUCUCACUUCCACAUUGGUGAGCUGCCCUAUUUUAGGACUGUUUGUAUUAGGCAAUAGGCUAGUAGAAUCAUUAACAUGCAAAUAGAAUUAUUUACCUUAAGAAUGAAACACAUGAUUAAAAUGGAAAUGGCAGAGGUUUAUAGAGGGGGUGAAACCACAUGACAUAGGUGAGACACUGUGGUUUGAGGCAGAUGAGCUUCGCUAGGGAUGAAUGACAGGGCUGAGGCGCACAUGUAAAAGUAAUCAGAACUCCCGUGCGAAGUGACACUGAUAUAUUCUGAAUGUCACAUUACACUGCAUAGUGCUGUGCUCACUCCAAAAAUGCUCUUUAAUUAUAGUUGCUCCAGCCUUACAAUCACAAAAGUCAAACAGAGUGGAGGUGGGCACCAUUUAGGCAACGUAAAUCAAUUUGCUGAAGGUGCUUUGUAAACAGGAUCUUCACCUCCCAGAUAAUUUAGUAAGACUUACCUGUGACUUUUAACUACACAUAGGUCUAUUUAAGGCUAACAGUUAGCCAAAGCUCAGUUUCUGAAUUAAGCGGGACAGUUCAACCCAUGGUUGGUCAACUCAUGCAGAAUGCAACUGUGCCUCUGUUGGCUCUAUAAACUGCUGGCCUGGCUGUUUAGGCAAAAAAAGUCUUUCCUUGAGCUCUUUCCUCCCAGUUUUCUUCUCAGGAGUUGGCCCAGAAUAAAGUACCUUAAAAAAACAAAACAAAACAAAAA
Long non-coding RNA from Tympanuchus pallidicinctus (lesser prairie-chicken), 1935 nucleotides. RefSeq lists it as uncharacterized. Lineage: Eukaryota; Metazoa; Chordata; Aves; Galliformes; Phasianidae. The transcript has 2 exons. The record is from RefSeq and is a predicted model, not a curated record.